RNAcentral lists this long non-coding RNA (1679 nucleotides) under Homo sapiens (human). RNAcentral's name for it is "non-protein coding lnc-ZBTB20-1:1". Lineage: Eukaryota; Metazoa; Chordata; Mammalia; Primates; Hominidae. The record is from RNAcentral.
AUUUCUUUUAGUCAUGUUGAUUUGAUUUCAGUUUCUGGCUAUGAAAAACAUUUUUAAACUCGUCACCCACAACAAACUGAACAAAACUACUACAGUGAAAGCCCUUUUCAGUGAAAGAUGUCAGAAACCUCAAAACCUUUGGCCUGACUCAGAACUACCAUGUGAAAAUCAGUACUCUCUUAAUGUUUGAAAUAAAAACUGAAAAAAAAAACAAAAAAACAAAAAACCUUUUUUGAAGCACCUUAACGUGGCCAUCCAUUUGAGAAGUGGGUGCCACUUUUUUCUUUGAGCACCUUAUUGAUGUGUUUGCUAUCUGCUGUCUUUCUGUUACCUGUUGGCUGAAUGGCUAGCUGUUAACAUAUACAUGUGCACAGAAGAGAUAUCUGGGCAUGUAUGUUCUCAAUGAAGUUUACUGUGGUGACUGCUGAAAGGUGAACCCAUUUCCUGAUUUUCCCGCCGCAGUGUUGUGAUAAGAUUCGAAGAAACCUUUUUCCCUGCACAGAAAUGUUUCUUAUCACAUUGUAUCUUAGUAUGGAAAGGAAUAUGGUCCCUUUUUUGCAAUUGCUACUGUGUACACACACACACACACACACACACACACACACACACACUGUAUGUUUAGACCUAAAAUACACACACCCACGCACACACUGUAUGUUUAUGUGACCUAAAACAUACACACAUGCACACACACAUACAUAUCCAUUCAUUCAUUCAUUCAAGUGGUGUUUCCAGUGUCUGUGUGUCACUGUUUAUGCAGUUUCCAUUUCCCAGUGAAUUAUGAGUGGAGGGCAACUUUUCUAACCAGAUUGUCUUUUCAGAACAAAGACCUGGGAAUUGAGGAAGAGUUUGGAAAGAGGGAGAGGCAAGGAAAGAGAGCUUUAAAUUGAAAGGUUAAUUUCCUAAGAGGAACCUGGGCUGAAUGACUGCAGUGUUAUACCCUCCAAUCUUUGCAGGUGGGCAUGGAACACUGCUUGUAUCACUCUGUGCACGGUAUAAAUCCAUAUAUCCACAAAAACACACAUCCAUCCAUCAACAUAUACAUGGUUUGGGAUGAGCAGGUCAAUAGUUUUGAGAGGGAGUUUGUUCCUUUUUUUUUCUCAUUAUACUCUUAAAUUGUUGUCAGUUAUCAAACAAACAAACAGAAAAAUUGUUUGGAAAAACCUUGCAUACGCCUUUUCUAUCAAGUGCUUUAAAAUAUAGACUAAAUACACACAUCCUGCCAGUUUUUUCUUACAGUGACAGUAUCCUUACCUGCCAUUUAAUAUUAGCCUCGUAUUUUUCUCACGUAUAUUUACCUGUGACUUGUAUUUGUUAUUUAAACAGGAAAAAAAACAUUCAAAAAAAGAAAAAUUAACUGUAGCGCUUCAUUAUACUAUUAUAUUAUUAUUAUUAUUGUGACAUUUUGGAAUACUGUGAAGUUUUAUCUCUUGCAUAUACUUUAUACGGAAGUAUUACGCCUUAAAAAUACGAAAAUAAAUUUUACAAGGUUUCUGUUUUGUGUGGAAGAGUAAUUGAUGUUGCUAAGAAUGAUGUUUGUUUUUUUGGGGUUUUUGUUGUUUUUUUUUUAAAUGUUACCAGCACUUUUUUUGUAAGUUUCACUUUCCGAGGUAUUGUACAAGUUCACACUGUUUGUGAAGUUUGAAUAUGAAGGAAUAAUUAAAAAAAAAAAAACUCUU